AGCCCGUUUGUUCUCUUUGAGCUACAGGAUUUUGAAUAGAACAGAAAGCUGCAGCCCAAAUAUAUUUCAUAUUUUUAUUCUCUUCAGACUGGUGGAGGGUCAUCAUGGUGUCUGUGGGUUUAGCAGCACUCAUAAUAACUGUUGUGGUGGUCAACAUAUGGAUGAGAACUAAAGGAAACAGAACCCAGAUGGAUGGCAAUGCUGAGCAUCGUGAUGAAGAUGAAGGUACAGUGACCUAUGAAAACGCUGGAGAACCUUCUGCUUCUAUCAGACUCCACUGAUCAACAACUUCAACAUCAACUCACCAGAAAAAGAGAAAAACUCUAACAUCAUUUUGAGUCGUAUCUAAAAACUGAAGUGUAACUUGCAGUUUAACAAUGACGUCUUGAUGUUAGGAUUUGACUCAUUGCUUUUAAAGGUAAAGCUUUGCUCAAGUUUUUAAAUAUAUGUGUAUAUAUGUAUUACAAAUUAAGAUGAGAGAAAAUGUAUUGUCAUCCUUUUAUAUACAAUGCAGUAGCCUAGAAAUCUAGAUGCACGCUAGCGGCAGCAAAUAUAAUCUGCAGCCAGGGUCAGUCUAGCAACUCUCCGUUGGCUUGCGAGCUGGAAAAACCAAAUUCUGGCCGGGCCAAUCACAUCGUGUAUAGAGUCAGUGGGCGGGCUUAUUGCUGGCGAACAGCAUAAUCUUUUGUUUGAGAAAAGAACAAAGAACGACACUGAAGUCAUUCUUAAAAAAGGAAGAUGUGUUCGGAGUUUUGCCGACCGGA
This is a long non-coding RNA of Perca fluviatilis (European perch), 764 nucleotides long. RefSeq lists it as uncharacterized. The transcript has 3 exons. The record is from RefSeq and is a predicted model, not a curated record. NCBI's taxonomy places the organism in Eukaryota, Metazoa, Chordata, Actinopteri, Perciformes, Percidae.